Molecule: non-coding RNA, 30 nt
Filed under: Rattus norvegicus (Norway rat)
Lineage: Eukaryota; Metazoa; Chordata; Mammalia; Rodentia; Muridae
Source: RNAcentral
UCUGAAUCUUCUAUGACUAGAGUUAUGGAC